GAUGAACGCUGGCGGCGUGCCUAAUACAUGCAAGUCGAGCGAACGGACGAGAAGCUUGCUUCUCUGAUGUUAGCGGCGGACGUGUGAGUAACACGUGUAUAACCUACCUAUAAUACUUGUAUAACUUCGUGAAUCCUUAUCUAAUACCGUAUAAUAUUUUUAACCGCAUUGUUCAAAAGUUUAAUUCGGUCUUUCUGUCACUUAUAGAUGGAUCCGCGCUGCAUUAGAUAGUUGGUAAGGUAACGGCUUACCAAGGCAACGAUGCAUAGCCGAACUGAGAGGGGGAUCGGCGACAAUGGAACGGAGACACGGUACAGACUACUACGGGAGGCAGCAGUAGGGAAUAUUCCGAAAAGGGCGAAAGCAUGACGGAGCAAAGCCGCGUGAGUGAGGAAGGUCUUCGGAUCGUAAAAAUAUGUUAUUAGGGAAGAAAAUAUGUGUAAGUAAAUGAGCACAUAUUGACGGUAACUAAUAAGAAAGCAACGGCUAACUACGUG
Molecule: ribosomal RNA, 497 nt
Filed under: uncultured bacterium
Lineage: Bacteria
Description: partial 16S ribosomal RNA
Rfam family: Bacterial small subunit ribosomal RNA
Source: RNAcentral